AUGUUCACUAUCUUAAGGAUUUAAUAUAAAUACAAAUAGCUUGAGUUUCCAGUUUAGAACCUUACCCAGAGGGCACAGCUGGCAGGAGCUCAAUCCCACGGCCCUGAGAUCACACCCGUCCUGAGCCGAAACUGACUGCACCCCCAGGUGCCCAGGAUUGUUCAGUAUUUUUUAAAUGAAAGUACAGUGCCCUUCUUUGGAUUACAGGACUUAUUUUAUAUGCUGAUUAUCAACUAGAGCAGAGAAAACUUGGUUUCCAGAGCCUUUUUAAUUCUCCAGAACUUCAAGCUUAGCCCAGGAAGGGAAGACAAAGAGGAGGAAAAGAGCUAUGCCUCUAAGACCUUGCCAGGAGCUCGGAAAAGGGCACCCCCUGCUCUCAUGAAGGACUGGCAGGGAAGCGACGCCCACUUCCAGGAGAAGCAGGAGCUGUACCUGGUACAUCUGGUGAGGACAGUUGCGUGGGUAGGGGACCUCAACCUUGCAGGCAGAACAGGAGAGGACCUUGGAGUUAGGCCCCUUGAACCCCUCUUGAUUUUGCCAGGUGACAACAUAUCCUAUUGAACCUUGACUUUGGGCCUUACACCACAUAUACACCAAGAGGCAUUUUUAUGUAGAGGGUCCAGUUAAGGGAAGCUGUUCUUUCAGAAUAAAUUGUAUGGUAAUGUGUUCUUUUAAGCUAUAGUACAAACAGCCAUAUUGAAACUUUACCUCACUUAGUUUUAUUGAGCAAUAAAAAAUUUGAUGCAGGCAGGUUGGGUGUCACGACCCAGACGGGGGUGUCCCGCAGGACCAGCCAAGAAGGUCUUGGGCUUCAAGCAGGAUGGAAAUCACAUGUGAGCCAGGAAGAGGUGAAAUCAG
This 858-nucleotide long non-coding RNA is filed under the name Mustela putorius furo (domestic ferret). Its description in RNAcentral is "lncRNA (ENSMPUG00000024856.1)". The record is from RNAcentral. Lineage: Eukaryota; Metazoa; Chordata; Mammalia; Carnivora; Mustelidae.